GGCGGUAAGACAGCCAUUUAGAGGAACCUGCCCUGUAAACGAUGAACCACGAGUAUCUUACUUUUUUUUGAUAUCAGCUUGUAUACCGCUGUUGUUAGUUAGAUUCAUUAGAAAACUUUCGUUUGUUGGUAGAACCAUUGACUUCAAGUAAAGGUGCAGCUAAUAAAAAAGAUAGAGGUGGGUUACAUUUAAAAGAAUAAAACGGAUAAAAUCAUGAAAUUGAUUUUUGAAGGUGGAUUUAAUAGUAAAGUUUAAAAAAACUUGAUGUGAGCUCUGUCUUGUGUACACACCGCCCGUCG
Molecule: ribosomal RNA, 299 nt
Filed under: Fistulobalanus albicostatus
Lineage: Eukaryota; Metazoa; Arthropoda; Thecostraca; Balanomorpha; Balanidae
Description: partial 12S ribosomal RNA
Rfam family: Microsporidia small subunit ribosomal RNA
Source: RNAcentral